AGAAGGGCUUCCACACGGCGACGUUUGGGGGGGGCCUUUUUCUUUUGC
Molecule: antisense RNA, 48 nt
Filed under: Brucella intermedia 229E
Lineage: Bacteria; Pseudomonadati; Pseudomonadota; Alphaproteobacteria; Hyphomicrobiales; Brucellaceae
Description: Ochrobactrum intermedium 229E ctRNA
Rfam family: ctRNA
About the family: This family represents a group of ctRNAs (or counter-transcribed RNAs) from p42d and related plasmids. ctRNAs are small, highly structured, antisense sequences which are involved in negative regulation. Members of this family are known to bind to the mRNA of repC causing translational repression.
Source: Rfam by way of RNAcentral